UCAUGGACGAGAGUCUGAACCAGCCAAGUAGCGUGAAGGAUGACUGCCCUAUGCCGUUGUAAACUUCUUUUAUACGGGAAUAAAGUGAGGCACGUGUGCCUUUUUGUAUGUACCGUAUGAAUAAGGAUCGGCUAACUCCGUGCCAGCAGCCGCGGUAAUACGGAGGAUCCGAGCGUUAUCCGGAUUUAUUGGGUUUAAAGGGAGCGUAGGCGGACGCUUAAGUCAGUUGUGAAAGUUUGCGGCUCAACCGUAAAAUUGCAGUUGAUACUGGGUGUCUUGAGUACAGUAGAGGCAGGCGGAAUUCGUGGUGUAGCGGUGAAAUGCUUAGAUAUCACGAAGAACUCCGAUUGCGAAGGCAGCCUGCUGGACUGUAACUGACGCUGAUGCUCGAAAGUGUGGGUAUCAAACAGGAUUAGAUACCCUGGUAGUCCAAGGGCGAAUUC
This 443-nucleotide ribosomal RNA is filed under the name uncultured bacterium. RNAcentral's name for it is "SSU rRNA". It matches the Rfam family "Bacterial small subunit ribosomal RNA", at positions 369 to 808 of the family's 1533-position model. The record is from RNAcentral.